GCCCGCUCAGAAACUACAAAGGAAGUUGACGGGGCCCGCACAAGCGGUGGAGUAUGUGGUUUAAUUCGAUGCAACGCGAAGAACCUUACCUGGUCUUGACAUCCCGGAGACCCUUAGGAAACUAGGGGGUGCUUCCAUCUGGAAGAAUCUGGAGACAGGUGCUGCAUGGCUGUCGUCAGCUCGUGUCGUGAGAUGUUGGGUUAAGUCCCGCAACGAGCGCAACCCUUGCCUUUAGUUGCCAGCAGUUCGGCUGGGCACUCUAAAGGGACUGCCGGUGUUAAACCGGAGGAAGGUGGGGAUGACGUCAAGUCCUCAUGGCCUUUAUGACCAGGGCUACACACGUACUACAAUGGCCGAUACAAAGGGCAGCGACACUGCGAGGUGAAGCCAAUCCCGUAAAAUCGGUCUCAGUCCGGAUUGGAGUCUGCAACUCGACUCCAUGAAGUUGGAAUCGCUAGUAAUCGUGGAUCAGCAUGCCACGGUGAAUACGUUCCCGGGCCUC
RNAcentral lists this ribosomal RNA (502 nucleotides) under uncultured Desulfobulbus sp. RNAcentral's name for it is "bacterial SSU rRNA". It matches the Rfam family "Bacterial small subunit ribosomal RNA", at positions 903 to 1382 of the family's 1533-position model. The record is from RNAcentral. Lineage: Bacteria; Pseudomonadati; Thermodesulfobacteriota; Desulfobulbia; Desulfobulbales; Desulfobulbaceae.